GCGAGUGUUGUAUAGUGGUAAUACCUCAGCCUUCCAAGCUGAUGCUGUCGGUUCGAUUCCGUCCACUCGCU
RNAcentral lists this transfer RNA (71 nucleotides) under Minisyncoccota bacterium. RNAcentral's name for it is "tRNA-Gly". It matches the Rfam family "tRNA". From Rfam's summary of the family: Transfer RNA (tRNA) molecules are approximately 80 nucleotides in length. The record is from RNAcentral. Lineage: Bacteria; Bacillati; Minisyncoccota.